UUUGAGACACAGGAGACUCCAGAACAGGUGACCCCAGUGAGCAAGGGCAGGAGACUUCUUUCUCUUCUAUAUGCCAUACAAAACGAAAAGAACUGUGUAUAUGCGAAAGCCAAUGUCUUCUAGGGAUUCUCAGCAAAUAUCAGGAUGAACUUUGGAAUGGAAGACAUAUUAGUACUUUGUUUUUGCAAGCUAUCAUGCAAGGAAAAGAUAAACAACUAGCAGGAGUCAUGUAAAUACAGCUGGACUUUCCAGUGAUGUCAUCGUGUUUCACUCCUUGUUUGCACUCUUCCCCAAUAAAUACAUCCAGGUUUCAUUACCAUGUCCACUCUGCCAAAAAGAAAACUGCAGAUGAAGAGCAGAAGGUCAAUAACUUGCCCAAGGUCAAAUAGCUAUAAGCAGUGGAUAUAGGGCCCAACUCUAUGGCUAGAGCAUUAUCCAUUAUAUUGCCCUGUAAAGUCAAAAUGGAUUCCAAAGCAGGCAAUAAAGCAAAAUUUCAAUGGU
Neofelis nebulosa (Clouded leopard) is the source of this 501-nucleotide long non-coding RNA. RefSeq lists it as uncharacterized. Lineage: Eukaryota; Metazoa; Chordata; Mammalia; Carnivora; Felidae. The transcript is spliced from 3 exons. The record is from RefSeq and is a predicted model, not a curated record.